UCCCAGUUCGGAUUGUAGGCUGCAACUCGCCUACAUGAAGUCGGAGUUGCUAGUAAUCGCGGAUCAGAAUGCCGCGGUGAAUGCGUUCCCGGGUCUUGUACACACCGCCCGUCACACCAUGGAAGUUGGGGGCGCCCGAAGUUGCCUAAGAAAUAAGGUACCUAAGGCGAAACCAAUGACUGGGUGAAGUCGUAACAAGGUAUC
Molecule: ribosomal RNA, 204 nt
Filed under: uncultured bacterium
Lineage: Bacteria
Description: partial 16S ribosomal RNA
Rfam family: Bacterial small subunit ribosomal RNA
Source: RNAcentral